CAUUACUGUAAGACAUAGGGCUCUGAGACUGCGCCAAAGGCGUGUGCUCGACCCUCUCUUCAUCCACACACACCUGUGCACUAUGGGACGAAAGUCCCCUUUUUUCACAAACACCGAGUUAUAUGCAUGUUUUUUUACAUACUCUACGGAGUAGUUGGUACAACUUUCAACAACGGAUCUCUUGGCUUUCGCAUCGAUGAAGAACGCAGCGAACGUGCGAAACGUAAUGUGAAUUGCAGAAUUCAGUGAAUCAUCGAAUCUUUGAACGCAUCUUGCGCUCCUUGGCAUUCCGAGGAGCAUGCCUGUUUGAGUGUCGUGAAGUAAUCUCAAUUUCAAUCUUUUUGGUUGAAGUUGGACUUGGACGCUGUCGUGGCUCACACGACUCGUCCUAAAUGCAUUAGCGAAUCUGCCUCUGAUCACGCGCAAUGUGAUAAGAAAUUUAAAGCAUUGUUAGAUCAAAGGUCAGGGUUGCUUCCAACCGUCGAAAGACAAACACUUUGUGUCAUUUGACCUCAGAUCAGGUAGGACUACCCGCUGAACUUAAGCAUAUC
RNAcentral lists this ribosomal RNA (551 nucleotides) under Geastrum sp. MA-Fungi 37546. Its description in RNAcentral is "eukaryotic LSU rRNA". The stretch from base 162 to 316 matches the Rfam family "5.8S ribosomal RNA". The record is from RNAcentral. Lineage: Eukaryota; Fungi; Basidiomycota; Agaricomycetes; Geastrales; Geastraceae.